This 22-nucleotide small nuclear RNA is filed under the name Arabidopsis thaliana (thale cress). RNAcentral's name for it is "snRNA_13566". Lineage: Eukaryota; Viridiplantae; Streptophyta; Magnoliopsida; Brassicales; Brassicaceae. The record is from RNAcentral.
UCUCUCUUCCACAUGUCACCUU